GNAAUUAUUGGGCGUAAAGCGCGCGCAGGCGGAUCAGUCAGUCUGUCUUAAAAGUUCGGGGCUUAACCCCGUGAUGGGAUGGAAACUGCUGAUCUAGAGUNUCGGAGAGGAAAGUGGAAUUCCUAGUGUAGCGGUGAAAUGCGUAGAUAUUAGGAAGAACACCAGUGGCGAAGGCGACUUUCUGGACGAAAACUGACGCUGAGGCGCGAAAGCCAGGGGAGCGAACGGGAUUAGAUACCCCGGUAGUCCUGNCCGUAAACGAUGGGUACUAGGUGUAGGAGGUAUCGACCCCUUCUGUGCCGGAGUUAACGCAAUAAGUACCCCGCCUGGGGAGUACGACCGCAAGGUUGAAACUCAAAGGAAUUGACGGGGGCCCGCACAAGCGGUGGAGUAUGUGGUUUAAUUCGACGCAACGCGAAGAACCUUACCAGGUCUUGACAUUGAUGGACAGAACUAGAGAUAGUUCCUCUUCUUCGGAAGCCAGAAAACAGGUGGUGCACGGUUGUCGUCAGCUCGUGUCGUGAGAUGUUGGGUUAAGUCCCGCAACGAGCGCAACCCCUAUCUUAUGUUGCCAGCACUUUGGGUGGGAACUCAUGAGAGACUGCCGUAGACAAUGCGGAGGAAGGCGGGGAUGACGUCAAAUCAUCAUGCCCCUUAUGACCUGGGCUACACACGUACUACAAUGGGAGUUAAUAGACGGAAGCGAGAUCGCGAGAUGGAGCAAACCCGAGAAACACUCUCUCAGUUCGGAUCGUAGGCUGCAACUCGCCUACGUGAAGUCGGAAUCGCUAGUAAUCGCAGGUCAGCAUACUGCGGUGAAUACGUUCCCGGGCCUUGUACACACCGCCCGUCACACCACGAAAGUCGGAAGUGCCCAAAGCCGGNGGGGUAAC
Molecule: ribosomal RNA, 893 nt
Filed under: uncultured bacterium
Lineage: Bacteria
Description: bacterial SSU rRNA
Rfam family: Bacterial small subunit ribosomal RNA
Source: RNAcentral